UCUAGCAGAUCCACUUUGCCAAUGAUUGUGUAUGUGAUUCAACAGUAGCCUGAUUCAUUUCCUUUGACUCAACUCAUCAAAAUAUUUCAUCUCUUGCAAGAUUUGCAGAUUUAUUAUUUAUAUAUAUUUGUACUGUAUGUUUGGACAUUCAUCUUGAAACAGACAACAAAAUUAUUGACAAGGCAUAUAGAGGAAAUUGUGAUUUUAAGCAGAAAGUAUCAUUGAAAAAAACAAAUCUUACAAGUAGUCAACUCAUUAACAAAUAAUAUGCUCCUGUAGAACUCAAAAUGGGAUAUUUUCCUUUUUGCUUUUGGUUUGGAUUGCUACUGGGAUGUUGGCACUUUUUUGCCUAUAAAAAACUAUGUGCCAUGUUAUCUGAAAAAUUACAAGUCCUUUCUGCAAACAUUUUAAAAUGGAGUGAAAUGGUAAGUUGUGUAUACUAAUAGUUAAAAUGAAAAUUAGAUAUUUCAGUUAGUGAACAACUAAGUACUUAAUCACUCAUAUAUUAGGUUUUGUGCUCCACUCUAGAAAGUCACUGAGAUAAACAGACCUGGUUACUACUGCCCUAUAAAGUUAACUGUUCAGCUUUAAAAGUAAUUUCCAUUAGAAAAAAAAAAAAAGUUA
This is a long non-coding RNA of Felis catus (domestic cat), 624 nucleotides long. RefSeq lists it as uncharacterized. The transcript has 3 exons. NCBI's taxonomy places the organism in Eukaryota, Metazoa, Chordata, Mammalia, Carnivora, Felidae. The record is from RefSeq and is a predicted model, not a curated record.